RNAcentral lists this ribosomal RNA (253 nucleotides) under uncultured bacterium. RNAcentral describes it as "partial 16S ribosomal RNA". It matches the Rfam family "Bacterial small subunit ribosomal RNA", at positions 524 to 776 of the family's 1533-position model. The record is from RNAcentral.
UACGGAGGGUGCAAGCGUUAUCCGGAUUUACUGGGUUUAAAGGGUGUGUAGGCGGGCUUUUAAGUCAGUGGUGAAAUCUCCGGGCUCAACCCGGAAACUGCCGUUGAUACUAUUAGUCUUGAAUUCUGUUGAGGUAGGCGGAAUAAGUCAUGUAGCGGUGAAAUGCAUAGAUAUGACUUAGAACACCAAUUGCGAAGGCAGCUUGCUAAACAGAUAUUGACGCUGAGGCACGAAAGCGUGGGGAUCAAACAGG